Molecule: long non-coding RNA, 2291 nt
Filed under: Sus scrofa (pig)
Lineage: Eukaryota; Metazoa; Chordata; Mammalia; Artiodactyla; Suidae
Description: lncRNA (ENSSSCG00065067500.1)
Source: RNAcentral
GGAGAGUAGAGGAAAGACAGGAGAUGGUUGUUGGCAAGGGCAGGGCGACCGUCCGGCCGAGGCCCGACGUGCUGGGCUGGGGGGUGGGCGGUGCCCACUUGAAGUUCAAGGUCAUAAACUUAACUGGAGCCAAUCCAAAUCCACUGCCCAAGCAAAAGCGUAUCUAAGAAAAAGAAAAAUAACUCGAAGCCUCCAAGACACAUAAAAUCCAGAAUGGACUGACAACGGUGAAGAAGGGUAGAGCUUUUCAGAAAGAUGACCCUCGAUUCAGGGCUUAGCCAUUCUUGUACAUGGAGCCAAGUUCAUUUUACCCGCAACUGACUUACAAGUGUCUCAUAACUCUGGACUCGUAACGGACACCACAAAAGCCCGUUCAAUGUCCAGUUGCUGGGAUGAGCCUAGUGGACAAAACGUCAAGCCAAUGGCAUGAGGACUGUGGUUUCAAUCAAGACCUGUCCCCCCAGAGCAGGGCUGCCCCAGCCCAUCCAUCUGGCAUCUCCGAGUCUCGGCAUCUUCUCUGAAAAUGAGAAUCAGAAGGUGUGUGAGCAAAGUUUGUUGUGUUAAUCGAAAAUAUGUUAAUUUUCUGCAUUUCAAUAACUUCAAGCUUAGCCUGAGAACCUUCCAAGCUGUAGAAAACCUCCUUGACUAAGAGUCCACCUGCACAAGGACCUCCGUCCUUCUGAACACAAACGAGCUGGAAUAGACCGUAAAGAAGGAGGGGGACCCUGGGGCCAGGAAGCUGGUCCUUCACAAGCAGGUCAGUGGUGGGGAUGCAGCUGGGGGCACAUGACACGAUGACAUUUCAUCUGGGUCUGAAAUACUCAGGCCCAGGCCCCUGAGAGUCCUGCAAACAGCGAAUCAGAAGGACCGCAGAGACUGAACAGGUGGUCCCUGAGCAGGUGGCUCUUGGCUGCUUGGAUGAGGGAGGGGAGAGGAGAGAGAAGAUGCUGGGGGCCACCCCAGGGGCCCUGCGCUGGAGACAGGUCCCGGGGCCCAGACUGUCUCACCCGAGAUGCAUCUUCCAUAACCUCCUUGGCAAGUCAGUCCUGAGCAUGAGCCUAGAGAAACCCCUUCACCAGGCCUGCCGUGGAGAAGGCCCUUCAAAGCCCCCCUCAGAAGAACGAGAAGCAUCCAAUGCUCCAUCAGUGGUGCCAUUACUAAUCAAAUUUAAAAGGAUUAAUGAGGGACCUCCCGUCAUGGCGCAGCGGACACGAAUCCGACUAGGAACCAUAAGGUUUUCGGUUCGAUCCCAGGCCCCGCUCAAUGGGUUAAGGAUCCAGCGUUGCCAUGAGCUGUGGUGUAGGUCGUGGACGCGGCUUGAAUCUGGCGUUACUGUGGCUGUGCCACAAGCUGACAGCUAUAGCUCCGAUAAGACCCCGAGUCUGGGAACCUCCACAUGCUGCAAGUGUGGCCCUAAAAAGACAAAAAGACUAAAAUAAAAUAAAAAGUUUAGUGAGUAAAGAAAUAAAGUAGGAAAGCCUCUUGGAGGAAAGAAUGAAAGAUCUGUGUUAUAGUGACAAUGACAGAAAUGAAAAGCAUUUUGCCAAGAUUUUGCACCUGUGACAAGCCAGGCCAAGUCACAGACUUCGAAAAGAAUGGGCUCUUUUGGACGGGCGUGUCUGCACACCGAGGUCUAACCACUGGGGCAGUUCUACCCUAUUAGGUGAAGAAGAAACCCCCUCAUCUUGUUGUGGCUUGUGCCGCCCUGCAGGGCUGGGAUUGGGCAGAGAAAGCCUGUGUUUACGUGCGACUUUAAUUUGAUUUACUGUCCCUGACAAGCCCGCCUGAACCCAGCGCUCUGUCUCAGCAGGGUCCCUGCCUCGCCUCUCCUGCUCUGCAAGAACUCGAAAGCAGGAGCUGGCAGGUGGAUGCCGAGGGGGACUUCGCCUCCCUUCAUGCUUGCCCAGGGCAAGUGGAACCAAGCCCGACUGCUUCAGAACCUUUCCUGGGCACGGGCUAAAGGCGCUUGGUGUCACGGUGUCACUGGAGGUGGCCUGAGGGGCAGACAGAUUCACCAGCGAUGGCUGCAUCUUGGGAGCUCAGCUCUGUGAAGCGGCAGUGUCAGCCCCGUGCGAGCUCCCCGCCAUCUGGGGAGGGGACACUGUGCUUGGAAAGUCAGAAGACAGGAAAGCAUCUGCGCCCUCCUCCUCCCGAGGCCCUCAGUGUCCUGCCUCCUCUCUGAGGCUGUCUGUGUUCGAACCUGCCCUGGGCCCUGUCACCGGAACAAAAGAUGGAAUUUCGCAUUUCUACCUCCUCAUUUCCUAGAAUUUCAGCUGCCUUCAUGGUUCUCC